Molecule: ribosomal RNA, 550 nt
Filed under: uncultured Archaeoglobales archaeon
Lineage: Archaea; Methanobacteriati; Methanobacteriota; Archaeoglobi; Archaeoglobales
Description: bacterial SSU rRNA
Rfam family: Archaeal small subunit ribosomal RNA
Source: RNAcentral
GCUAGUCUAGGGGCUCCUUCGGGAGCACCGGCGGACGGCUCAGUAACACGUGGACAACCUGCCCUCGGGUGGGGGAUAACCCCGGGAAUCUGGGGCUAAUCCCCCAUAGGUGAUGGGUGCUGGAAUGCCCCAUCUCCGAAAGCGCUCAGCGCCCGAGGAUGGGUCUGCGGCGGAUUAGGUAGUUGGUGGGGUAACGGCCCGCCAAGCCUAAGAUCCGUACGGGCUGUGGGAGCAGGAGCCCGGAGAUGGACCCUGAGACAAGGGUCCAGGCCCUACGGGGCGCAGCAGGCGCGAAACCUCCGCAAUGCGGGAAACCGCGACGGGGUUAGCCGGAGUGCCCGUGCAUCGCACGGGCUGUCGGGGUGCCUAAACAGCACCCCAUAGCAAGGGCCGGGCAAGGCCGGUGGCAGCCGCCGCGGUAAGACCGGCGGCCCGAGUGACGGCCACUCUUAUUGGGCCUAAAGCGUCCGUAGCCGGCUCAGUAAGUCCCCCGGGAAAUCUGGUCGCUUAACGAUCAGACUUCCGGGGGAUACUGCUGAGCUAGGGACCG